GCGAGUAUGGCCCUCACGGGUCUAAUCCACCAUAAACACCUUUGUGAACCAGUCAGGGGGACUCGGCCGUGAAAGCCCAGGCGAUUAGCGGAAGGGCCCUCCUUUGCAAAACCCGUUUAGAAGUCUUGAAAGUACUUUUGUAUAAUCUAGUAA
Molecule: unclassified non-coding RNA, 153 nt
Filed under: soil metagenome
Description: partial internal transcribed spacer 1
Source: RNAcentral